RNAcentral lists this ribosomal RNA (459 nucleotides) under uncultured bacterium. Its description in RNAcentral is "partial 16S ribosomal RNA". It matches the Rfam family "Bacterial small subunit ribosomal RNA", at positions 338 to 795 of the family's 1533-position model. The record is from RNAcentral.
CCUACGGGUGGCAGCAGUGAGGAAUAUUGGUCAAUGGGCGCGAGCCUGAACCAGCCAAGUCGCGUGAGGGAAGACGGCCCUAUGGAUUGUAAACCUCUUUUGUCGGGGAGCAAAAGACGCCACGCGUGGCGUUCCGUGAGUACCCGAAGAAAAAGCAUCGGCUAACUCCGUGCCAGCAGCCGCGGUAAUACGGAGGAUGCGAGCGUUAUCCGGAUUUAGUGGGUUUAAAGGGUGCGCAGGCGGAAGAUCAAGUCAGCGGUAAAAUUGAGGGGCUCAACCUCUUCGAGCCGUUGAAACUGGGUUUCUUGAGUGAGCGAGAAGUAUGCGGAAUGCGUGGUGUAGCGGUGAAAUGCAUAGAUAUCACGCAGAACUCCGAUUGCGAAGGCAGCAUACCGGCGCUCAACUGACGCUGAUGCACGAAAGUGUGGGUAUCGAACAGGAUUAGAUACCCGGGUAGUC